AGUCUGGUGCCAGCAGCCGCGGUAAUUCCAGCUCCAAUAGCGUAUAUUAAAGUUGUUGCAGUUAAAAAGCUCGUAGUUGAAAUUUUGAUUGUAGCGGUCAGUCUCACAACAGUGAGUGCUAGAUGUGCUGUGGUCAUGUUUCGUUGGAACGUGUGUGGCAUUGAGUUGUCGUGCAUGGGAAGACAAUCGUUUACUGUGAAAAAAUUAGAGUGUUCAAAGCAGGCUUAUGCCGUUGAAUAUAUUAGCAUGGAAUAAUAAGAUAGGACCAGGGUACUAUUUUGUUGGUUUGUGCACCUUGGUAAUGAUUAAUAGGGACAGUUGGGGAUAUUCGUAUUGCGGUGUCAGAGGUGAAAUUCUUGGAUUUCCACAAGACGAGCUACUGCGAAAGCAUUUAUCAAGGAUGUUUUCAUUAAUCAAGAACGAAAGUUAGGGGAUCGAAGAUGAUUAGAUACCAUCGUAGUCUUAACCAUAAACUAUGCCGACAAGGGAUUGGCAGGGUGUGUUUAUGCCUCUGUCAGCACCUUAGGAGAAAUCAUAAGUUUUUGGGUUCCGGGGGGAGUAUGGUCGCAAGGCUCAAACUUAAAGACAUUGACGGAAGGGCACCACCAGGAGUGGAGCCUGCGGCUUAAUUUGACCCAACACGGGAAAACUUACCAGGUCCAGGCAUAGUGAGGAUUGACAGAUUGAGAGCUCUUUCUUGAUUCUAUGGGUGGUGGUGCAUGGCCGUUCUUAGUUGGUGGAGUGAUUUGUCUGGUUAAUUCCGUUAACGAACGAGACCCCCGCCUGCUAAAUAGAUGGUCUAGUGAUUUUUCACUGGAAACAUCUUCUUAGAGGGACGUGCGUUCUAUUAGACGCAGGAAGAUGGGGGCAAUAACAGGUCUGUGAUGCCCUUAGAUGUCCUGGGCCGCACGCGCGCUACACUGAUGCAUUCAACGAGUUGCCUUCACCGAGAGGUGUGGGAAAUCUUGGAAUGUGCAUCGUGAUAGGGAUAGAUUCUUGUAAUUUUUAAUCUUGAACGAGGAAUUCCUAGUAAACGCAGAUCAUCAAUCUGCAUUGAUUACGUCCCUGCCCUUUGUACACACCGCCCGUCGCACCUACCGAUUGAAUGGUCCGGUGAAGCCUCGGGAUUGUGAUGACUUUUCUUCAUUGAGAGGUCGUUGCGAGAACUUGUCUAAACCUUAUCAUUUAGAGGAAGGUGAAGUC
RNAcentral lists this ribosomal RNA (1203 nucleotides) under metagenome. Its description in RNAcentral is "SSU rRNA". It matches the Rfam family "Eukaryotic small subunit ribosomal RNA", at positions 558 to 1790 of the family's 1831-position model. The record is from RNAcentral.